UGUACACCUUCAAAUGGCCGGCUUGUAAUGGAACUCGGGGGAGGGCGUCAUCCCAGGCGUGGAAAGAAAGGGAUGGGGUGAGCCCCAAAGGUAACUGGAAAGAGGGAGUUCAAGCUAGGAAACACUACGGCCUUCAUUCUGAAAGCGAAAGGCUCCCUGAAUUCCUCAUGGAGUUGAGAAUCCUCACCUCUGCUGAUGAUUGAAUAAGGGACACGGUCUCUGCCUCAGCGUGGCACAAAUAUCUGCUGAAAAUCUAGGCCAGGCCAGAGAAGAUCAUUUGGUCCCCUUGCCCACAGCACUGCCAGGAGACGUACCCAGGGUUGAAAUCCACUGUGUAGACAAUAGUGAAGAAUCCAUUCAUGUCUUGGAACCGGAAGAAGUGGUCCGAUCGGCUCUGUAUUUUGAAGCUCACCCUGGCAGCAGCGUGGAAGAAAAAUCCUCAAUACAUUUCUCUGGAGGCUCUAGAAUUUGGGCCGUCUGCCAAAUAAAGACCUGGGCCUCUUUUUUACCAUUUGUUAGAAUCUUGGAAAAUAUGGCAAACUUGCCCUGACCCUGUCAUUCAGAUAAGUCUGUGAAAUGGGGGUGUACUCUGUGCCCUUGGUGGAAGGUUCUGGCGACUCUGAGCUCCGUCUCACGGAAGCUGCUUGUUCCCGGAGCUGGUCCGUGGGUGGUUGUGGCUGUCACGACUUCUGAGUGUAGAACACGCGCGGAUCGCAAAAACUGACCGUGAGAGAGGGUACAAUAUCUCAAUGCUUCUAUCUUGGUUACUUGGGAUGGUAUUUUGAACACAGUGGACUAAAGAAAAUAUCAAAAUUAAUUUCACAUGUUGCUUGUUUUAA
This 839-nucleotide long non-coding RNA is filed under the name Suricata suricatta (meerkat). Its description in RNAcentral is "lncRNA (ENSSSUG00005003059.1)". Lineage: Eukaryota; Metazoa; Chordata; Mammalia; Carnivora; Herpestidae. The record is from RNAcentral.